GUGGGGAAUUGUUCGCAAUGGGCGCAAGCCUGACGACGCAACGCCGCGUGGAGGAUGAAGGUCUUCGGAUUGUAAACUCCUGUUGACCGGGAAGAACUCCCCCGGGGUGAACAUCCCUGGAGGUUGACGGUACCGGUUGAGGAAGCCCCGGCUAACUCUGUGCCAGCAGCCGCGGUAAUACAGAGGGGGCAAGCGUUGUUCGGAAUUACUGGGCGUAAAGGGCGCGUAGGCGGCCAGCUAAGUCGGACGUGAAAUCCCAAGGCUCAACCUUGGAACUGCGUCCGGUACUGGAUGGCUUGAAUCCGGGAGAGGGAUGUGGAAUUCCAGGUGUAGCGGUGAAAUGCGUAGAUAUCUGGAGGAACACCGGUGGCGAAGGCGGCAUCCUGGACCGGUAUUGACGCUGAGGCGCGAAAGCCAGGGGAGCAAACGGGAUUAGAUACCCUUGUAGUCC
RNAcentral lists this ribosomal RNA (451 nucleotides) under uncultured bacterium. RNAcentral's name for it is "bacterial SSU rRNA". It matches the Rfam family "Bacterial small subunit ribosomal RNA", at positions 354 to 796 of the family's 1533-position model. The record is from RNAcentral.